Non-coding RNA from Triticum aestivum (bread wheat), 125 nucleotides. NCBI's taxonomy places the organism in Eukaryota, Viridiplantae, Streptophyta, Magnoliopsida, Poales, Poaceae. The record is from Rfam.
UUACUACUCCCUUCGUCCGAAAAUACUUGUUCGAGGAAUGAAUGUAUUUAGAUGUAUUUUAAUUCUAGAUAAAUCCAUUUGUAUCCAUUUCUUUGAAAAGUAUUUCCGGAUGAAGGGAGUACGAC